Molecule: long non-coding RNA, 723 nt
Filed under: Homo sapiens (human)
Lineage: Eukaryota; Metazoa; Chordata; Mammalia; Primates; Hominidae
Description: HSALNT0298878
Source: RNAcentral
AAUGGCUCCCGCGGGUUGUGGUCGGAGCGCUGGCGGGGGCGGGAUCGUGACGUUAAGGGCGGUGCCCAGUCAGCGAGGUAGGUCGGGAAGGCAGCCGGCGGCCCCAGAUCUAGAACCGCUGCAGUGCCGAGCUUCCAGGGACGUGAAGCCGGAAAGCCAGGCGCCCUUCUUGACUGCGCCUAGGUGGAACUGGCCCUCCAGCAGCUUGAACGUAGCCUCUUUUCACACUGGUAGUUCCUGAACCUCUUGUGAAAUGAAAGAUGUUCCUCAUUCCAAGCUGAGGACGGAGAAAAGCCGUAAAGCUGACACUGGAGCUAGAAUGACUUGUCAGCCACCUUUGAGCAAGAACUUGCCUGGAGUCCAAAUGUAUGGCUAUUGAAGGAUAGUAAGCAGACAGCACUAAAAGUCAUCCAUUCGUUAUGGAUUUAGUCUUAAGACCCUCAUUUGAGAGAUGCCUUCCCUGUACCUGGAGGAAAGAAACAUCUUUAUCUCUGAAGACACAGGGCCACAGAGAAGAGUCUGAACAAACAGGCUUUACCAAUUUCCCCCAGUUGUUACCGUUAGAUCAGACCUUUGUCCAGUCAUAUCCUUCCACAAGUUGUCCACUCAUCAACCCUAAGCAUAAAAAUGCACAAGUUUCCUUGUUUGUUUGGGUCUUCAUUUCCAAGGGCUCCUAUGUCAUGUUAAACUUUUAAAUAAAUUUGCAUGCUUUUCUCUUGUGAA